UUUGGAUCGCUAUUCUCCUUCACUGGUUCAAUCCAUUGCUGCCACUUUUCCUCACAAUUUUUUCGUUUUUUUUCAUUCGUUUUCACCCUUAAUUUUUUCGUUUUUUUAACCAUCCAAAUGUUAUUUUCUUUCUGAUUUUUUUAUGCCUAGUUCUUAUUUGUGACAUUGUCUUUACAAUUUAAUUUUUAUUUUUAUUUUUUCCAUUUAUUUUCCGCUGAUUACGGCCGUUGCAAAAAUGCCCCGUGAACAUUUUAAAAAAUGUAUACUUGUUAGAUUUUUG
This 280-nucleotide long non-coding RNA is filed under the name Lathyrus oleraceus (garden pea). Its description in RNAcentral is "Pisum sativum (pea) long non-coding RNA (PSAT_LNC017448)". The record is from RNAcentral. Lineage: Eukaryota; Viridiplantae; Streptophyta; Magnoliopsida; Fabales; Fabaceae.